UGCAAGUCGAGCGGACAGAAGGGAGCUUGCUCCCGGAUGUUAGCGGCGGACGGGUGAGUAACACGUGGGUAACCUGCCUGUAAGACUGGGAUAACUCCGGGAAACCGGAGCUAAUACCGGAUAGUUCCUUGAACCGCAUGGUUCAAGGAUGAAAGACGGUUUCGGCUGUCACUUACAGAUGGACCCGCGGCGCAUUAGCUAGUUGGUGGGGUAAUGGCUCACCAAGGCGACGAUGCGUAGCCGACCUGAGAGGGUGAUCGGCCACACUGGGACUGAGACACGGCCCAGACUCCUACGGGAGGCAGCAGUAGGGAAUCUUCCGCAAUGGACGAAAGUCUGACGGAGCAACGCCGCGUGAGUGAUGAAGGUUUUCGGAUCGUAAAGCUCUGUUGUUAGGGAAGAACAAGUGCGAGAGUAACUGCUCGCACCUUGACGGUACCUAACCAGAAAGCCACGGCUAACUACGUGCCAGCAGCCGCGGUAAUACGUAGGUGGCAAGCGUUGUCCGGAAUUAUUGGGCGUAAAGGGCUCGCAGGCGGUUUCUUAAGUCUGAUGUGAAAGCCCCCGGCUCACCCGGGGAGGGUCAUUGGAAACUGGGAAACUUGAGUGCAGAAGAGGAGAGUGGAAUUCCACGUGUAGCGGUGAAAUGCGUAGAGAUGUGGAGGAACACCAGUGGCGAAGGCGACUCUCUGGUCUGUAACUGACGCUGAAGGAGCGAAAGCGUGGGGGAGCGAACAGGAUUAGAUACCCUGGUAGUCCACGCCGUAAACGAUGAGUGCUAAGUGUUUA
Molecule: ribosomal RNA, 789 nt
Filed under: Bacillus sp. NCCP-954
Lineage: Bacteria; Bacillati; Bacillota; Bacilli; Caryophanales; Bacillaceae
Description: bacterial SSU rRNA
Rfam family: Bacterial small subunit ribosomal RNA
Source: RNAcentral